RNAcentral lists this ribosomal RNA (498 nucleotides) under uncultured bacterium. RNAcentral describes it as "partial 16S ribosomal RNA". It matches the Rfam family "Bacterial small subunit ribosomal RNA", at positions 28 to 507 of the family's 1533-position model. The record is from RNAcentral.
GACGAACGCUGGCGGCGUGCCUAAUACAUGCAAGUCGAGCGGACGAAUCGAAAGCUUGCUUUUGAUUCGUUAGCGGCGGGCGGGUGAGUAACACGUGGGCAACCUGCCCUGUAGACGGGGAUAACACCGAGAAAUCGGUGCUAAUACCGGAUAACACGAAAUGUCGCAUGACGUUUCGUUGAAAGACGGCGCAAGCUGUCGCUACAGGAUGGGCCCGCGGCGCAUUAGCUAGUUGGUGAGGUAACGGCUCACCAAGGCGACGAUGCGUAGCCGACCUGAGAGGGUGAUCGGCCACACUGGGACUGAGACACGGCCCAGACUCCUACGGGAGGCAGCAGUAGGGAAUCUUCCGCAAUGGACGAAAGUCUGACGGAGCAACGCCGCGUGAGCGAAGAAGGCCUUCGGGUCGUAAAGCUCUGUUGUUAGGGAAGAACAAGUAACGCAGUAACUGGCGUUACCGUGACGGUACCUAACGAGAAAGCCACGGCUAACUACGUG